Molecule: ribosomal RNA, 491 nt
Filed under: uncultured bacterium
Lineage: Bacteria
Description: partial 16S ribosomal RNA
Rfam family: Bacterial small subunit ribosomal RNA
Source: RNAcentral
AGUGAACGCUGGCGGUAGGCCUAACACAUGCAAGUCGAACGGCAGCACAGUAAGAGCUUGCUCUUACGGGUGGCGAGUGGCGGACGGGUGAGGAAUACAUCGGAAUCUACUUUUUCGUGGGGGAUAACGUAGGGAAACUUACGCUAAUACCGCAUACGACCUACGGGUGAAAGCAGGGGAUCUUCGGACCUUGCGCGAUUGAAUGAGCCGAUGUCGGAUUAGCUAGUUGGCGGGGUAAAGGCCCACCAAGGCGACGAUCCGUAGCUGGUCUGAGAGGAUGAUCCGCCACACUGGAGCUGAGACACGGUCCAGACUCCUACGGGAGGCAGCAGUGGGGAAUAUUGGACAAUGGGCGCAAGCCUGAUCCAGCCAUACCGCGUGGGUGAAGAAGGCCUUCGGGUUGUAAAGCCCUUUUGUUGGGAAAGAAAAGCAGCAGGUUAAUACCCCGCUGUUCUGACGGUACCCAAAGAAUAAGCACCGGCUAACUUCGU